GACGGAGGGUGCAAGCGUUAUCCGGCAUGAUUGGGCGUAAAGCGUCCGCAGGUGGCAGUUCAAGUCUGCUGUCAAAGACCGGGGCUUAACUUCGGAAAGGCAGUGGAAACUGAACAGCUAGAGUAUGGUAGGGGCAGAGGGAAUUCCUGGUGUAGCGGUGAAAUGCGUAGAUAUCAGGAAGAACAUCGGUGGCGAAGGCGCUCUGCUGGACCAUAACUGACACUCAGGGACGAAAGCUAGGGGAGCGAAUGGG
Molecule: ribosomal RNA, 253 nt
Filed under: uncultured bacterium
Lineage: Bacteria
Description: partial 16S ribosomal RNA
Rfam family: Bacterial small subunit ribosomal RNA
Source: RNAcentral